AGUGGCGGACGGGUGAGUAACGCGUGAGAAUCUGCCUUGGGGUCGGGGACAACCACUGGAAACGGUGGCUAAUACCGGAUAAGCCGAUUGGUGAAAGAUUUAUUGCCCGAAGAGGAGCUCGCGUCUGAUUAGCUAGUUGGUGAGGUAAGAGCUCACCAAGGCAGCGAUCAGUAGCUGGUCUGAGAGGACGAUCAGCCACACUGGGACUGAGACACGGCCCAGACUCCUACGGGAGGCAGCAGUGGGGAAUUUUCCGCAAUGGGCGAAAGCCUGACGGAGCAAGACCGCGUGAGGGAGGAAGGCUCUUGGGUUGUAAACCUCUUUUCUCAGGGAAGAAGAUCUGACGGUACCUGAGGAAUCAGCCUCGGCUAACUCCGUGCCAGCAGCCGCGGUAAUGCGGAGGAGGCAAGCGUUAUCCGGAAUUAUUGGGCGUAAAGCGUCCGCAGGUGGCGAUUCAAGUCUGCUGUCAAAGCACGGGGCUUAACUCCGUAAAGGCAGUGGAAACUGAAUAGCUAGAGUGCCGUAGGGGUAGAGGGAAUUCCCGGUGUAGCGGUGAAAUGCGUAGAGAUCGGGAAGAACAUCGGUGGCGAAAGCGCUCUACUGGACGGCAACUGACACUCAGGGACGAAAGCUAGGGGAGCGAAUGGGAUUAGAUACCCC
Molecule: ribosomal RNA, 660 nt
Filed under: uncultured bacterium
Lineage: Bacteria
Description: bacterial SSU rRNA
Rfam family: Bacterial small subunit ribosomal RNA
Source: RNAcentral